Molecule: ribosomal RNA, 675 nt
Filed under: uncultured Clostridium sp.
Lineage: Bacteria; Bacillati; Bacillota; Clostridia; Eubacteriales; Clostridiaceae
Description: bacterial SSU rRNA
Rfam family: Bacterial small subunit ribosomal RNA
Source: RNAcentral
GCCCUUAAAGGGAGAUUAAUACCGCAUAAUAUUGCAGCUUCGCAUGNAGCAGNAAUUAAAGGAGNAAUCCGCUUUGAGAUGGACCCGCGGCGCAUUAGCUAGUUGGAGAGGUAACGGCUCACCAAGGCGACGAUGCGUAGCCGACCUGAGAGGGUGAUCGGCCACAUUGGAACUGAGACACGGUCCAGACUCCUACGGGAGGCAGCAGUGGGGAAUAUUGCACAAUGGGCGAAAGCCUGANGCAGCAACGCCGCGUGAGUGAAGACGGUCUUCGGAUUGUAAAGCUCUGUCUUUUGGGACGAUAAUGACGGUACCAAAGGAGGAAGCCACGGCUAACUACGUGCCAGCAGCCGCGGUAAUACGUAGGUGGCAAGCGUUGUCCGGAUUUACUGGGCGUAAAGGAUGNGUAGGCGGAUAUUUAAGUGAGAUGUGAAAUCCCCGUGCUCAACAUGGGGGCUGCAUUUCAAACUGGGUAUCUAGAGUGCAGGAGAGGAAAGCGGAAUUCCUAGUGUAGCGGUGAAAUGCGUAGAGAUUAGGAAGAACAUCAGUGGCGAAGGCGGCUUUCUGGACUGUAACUGACGCUGAGGCAUGAAAGCGUGGGGAGCAAACAGGAUUAGAUACCCUGGUAGUCCACGCCGUAAACGAUGAGUACUAGGUGUAGGAGGUAUCGACUCC